GGAGGGAUGGCAGAGCGGUUUAAUGCAGCGGUCUUGAAAACCGCCAAGGGUCAAACCUUCAGGGGUUCGAAUCCCCUUCCCUCCGCCA
RNAcentral lists this transfer RNA (88 nucleotides) under Armatimonadota bacterium. RNAcentral's name for it is "Armatimonadetes bacterium (activated sludge metagenome) tRNA-Ser". It matches the Rfam family "tRNA". From Rfam's summary of the family: Transfer RNA (tRNA) molecules are approximately 80 nucleotides in length. Their secondary structure includes four short double-helical elements and three loops (D, anti-codon, and T loops). Lineage: Bacteria; Bacillati; Armatimonadota. The record is from RNAcentral.